ACGCUCGACACCUACGGGAGCAGCAGUAGGGAAUCUUCGGCAAUGGACGCAAGUCUGACCGAGCAACGCCGCGUGAGUGAAGAAGGUUUUCGGAUCGUAAAACUCUGUUGUUAGAGAAGAACAAGGAUGAGAGUGGAAAGUUCAUCCCUUGACGGUAUCUAACCAGAAAGCCACGGCUAACUACGUGGCAGCAGCCGCGGUAAUCUGAGCGGGCUGGCAAGGC
Molecule: ribosomal RNA, 223 nt
Filed under: uncultured bacterium
Lineage: Bacteria
Description: partial 16S ribosomal RNA
Rfam family: Bacterial small subunit ribosomal RNA
Source: RNAcentral